UUUCCGUUGGUGAACCAGCGGAGGGAUCAUUACCGAGUUUACAACUCCCAAACCCAAUGUGAACCAUACCAAACUGUUGCCUCGGCGGGGUCACGCCCCGGGUGCGUCGCAGCCCCGGAACCAGGCGCCCGCCGGAGGGACCAACCAAACUCUUUUCUGUAGUCCCCUCGCGGACGUUAUUUCUUACAGCUCUGAGCAAAAAUUCAAAAUGAAUCAAAACUUUCAACAACGGAUCUCUUGGUUCUGGCAUCGAUGAAGAACGCAGCGAAAUGCGAUAAGUAAUGUGAAUUGCAGAAUUCAGUGAAUCAUCGAAUCUUUGAACGCACAUUGCGCCCGCCAGUAUUCUGGCGGGCAUGCCUGUCCGAGCGUCAUUUCAACCCUCGAACCCCUCCGGGGGGUCGGCGUUGGGGACCUCGGGAGCCCCUAAGACGGGAUCCCGGCCCCGAAAUACAGUGGCGGUCUCGCCGCAGCCUCUCCUGCGCAGUAGUUUGCACAACUCGCACCGGGAGCGCGGCGCGUCCACGUCCGUAAAACACCCAACUUCUGAAAUGUUGACCUCGGAUCAGGUAGGAAUACCCGCUGAACUUAA
RNAcentral lists this ribosomal RNA (589 nucleotides) under Trichoderma sp. JCM 28099. RNAcentral describes it as "eukaryotic LSU rRNA". The stretch from base 218 to 371 matches the Rfam family "5.8S ribosomal RNA". The record is from RNAcentral. Lineage: Eukaryota; Fungi; Ascomycota; Sordariomycetes; Hypocreales; Hypocreaceae.